Molecule: long non-coding RNA, 608 nt
Filed under: Phaseolus vulgaris (common bean)
Lineage: Eukaryota; Viridiplantae; Streptophyta; Magnoliopsida; Fabales; Fabaceae
Description: long non-coding RNA (PVUL_LNC000915)
Source: RNAcentral
UUUCAGUGAGUUAAUUUUUUGCUCCUUAUAAUUGUCUUACUGUUAUUUUUCUCGCGUUUUUAAUAUAAUCGCAUAUCUUGUAUUUGUUUGUCUCUAGCCGGCAAAGCCAACAGUAGAAAAUAGUUUGUGGUUUCCACUGACAUCUUCUGCUUCUUCCACUGACACCCUUCAAUCAAAGUACGAUGUUUUUGUUAGCUUUAGAGGUCAAGAUGUUUGUGAAUGUUUCCUUAGCCAUUUGAUUAAGGCACUUUCUCUAAACCAGAGAUUGCUUCCUUUGUAGAUUACAACAUUCCCAAAAGGACAUAUCUGAUGCACUUCUAAGAGCAUAAUGAUGAUUUAUGUGCUUACAGCUUAGUAAGCAUCUCUGUUUGGGCUUAAUUAAUGUGUGUUUUCCCAUUGGGUUUGUAAGGGGUGAGGGGAUCUCUGAUUUUAAUAGUUCUUGUUGCGCUAAAAAUCCUAUUUUGCUGAGACCCUAAACUCGAGAAUAGUAUGUAUAAGGGUUGGAACACCCCUUAAGUGUCUCUUUUUUAUUUUAUUAAUUCAUUGCUGAUAAAAAAAGAGCAUAAUAAUGAUGUUGAUCAUUUGUUUCUUCUUUACGUAUAGAAAAA